RNAcentral lists this ribosomal RNA (239 nucleotides) under uncultured bacterium. Its description in RNAcentral is "partial 16S ribosomal RNA". It matches the Rfam family "Bacterial small subunit ribosomal RNA", at positions 337 to 568 of the family's 1533-position model. The record is from RNAcentral.
GCCUACGGGGCGCAGCAGUAGGGAAUCUUCCACAAUGGACGAAAGUCUGAUGGAGCAACGCCGCGUGGGUGAAGAAGGGUUUCGGCUCGUAAAGCUCGGUUGGGAGUGAAGAAAGAUAGAGGUAGGAACUGGCCUUUAUUUGACGGGAAUUACUUAGAAAGUCACGGCUAACUACGUGCCAGCAGCCGCGGUAAUAAGUAGGUGGCAAGCGUUGUCCGGAUUUAUUGGGCGUAAAGCGA